GUGGGGAAUAUUGGACAAUGGGCGAAAGCCUGAUCCAGCCAUGCCGCGUGUGUGAAGAAGGUCUUCGGAUUGCAAAGCACUUUAAGUUGGGAGGAAGGGCAGUAAGUUAAUACCUUGCUGUUUUGACGUUACCGACAGAAUAAGCACCGGCUAACUUCGUGCCAGCAGCCGCGGUAAUACGAAGGGUGCAAGCGUUAAUCGGAAUUACUGGGCGUAAAGCGCGCGUAGGUGGUUUUGUAAGUUGGAGGUGAAAUCCCCGGGCUCAACCUGGGAACUGCCUCCAAAACUGCAUGACUAGAGUACGGUAGAGGGUAGUGGAAUUUCCUGUGUAGCGGUGAAAUGCGUAGAUAUAGGAAGGAACACCAGUGGCGAAGGCGACUACCUGGACUGAUACUGACACUGAGGUGCGAAAGCGUGGGGAGCAAACAGGAUUAGAAACCCGUGUAGUCC
This 450-nucleotide ribosomal RNA is filed under the name uncultured bacterium. RNAcentral's name for it is "partial 16S ribosomal RNA". It matches the Rfam family "Bacterial small subunit ribosomal RNA", at positions 354 to 796 of the family's 1533-position model. The record is from RNAcentral.